AGAAGCGCCCCCAUUCCUCCUGCCGCUCUGAAGGCUUCGAGGUGCAGUGGCUGCAGAGGUCGAAGCCCGAGACUUCAGAGGACCAGCAGACCCGCUACCUGUUUUUCUGAAAAGUACUAACUCCACCUCCGCCCCCGCCCGGACUCAGCCGCCGCAGUAUCCACGAUAGGCACCCUCCAUUCGACACAUCAAACCUCAGGCGACCCCUCCCCUCAGGCGACCCCUCCACUGAGACCUCGGUGAUUCUCGCGGACCUGUACGUGCACCCAACGGCACCACUUUCCGGGCUGCCCUUUGCAGCCAUCGCACUCCCAGUACCCCCGCCUUGGCCGCCGCCAUCUUCACCUUCUUCCAGUUUCACCCCGCACAUGCGCAAAGGCCUGUCACGGCGGCUGAGCUGGGCCAAACGCGAUAAGGGAGAAACAUCUCAAAGGUUCAAUAAGGGCGUGGCUUAAAUGGUGCUGGGAAGCCAUGGGGGAAGUUGAAAUCAGAGGCAUCCAGGGAUAACAGGAACUCAGAACCGGGGCAUCACAGGUGGACGGCUGACCCACCUUUCCCAGGAGCUCUACAAGUAAAAUGACCCUUCCUUAAUCUCUAGCUGCUUGCCUUUUUCCUCUCCUUCACUGGCCCUUUCUCCUUCCAUUUCCAAACAUGAUCAUUAUUGAAAUUCA
Phacochoerus africanus (Common warthog) is the source of this 671-nucleotide long non-coding RNA. RefSeq lists it as uncharacterized. NCBI's taxonomy places the organism in Eukaryota, Metazoa, Chordata, Mammalia, Artiodactyla, Suidae. The record is from RefSeq and is a predicted model, not a curated record. The transcript is spliced from 2 exons.